This 382-nucleotide ribosomal RNA is filed under the name uncultured bacterium. RNAcentral's name for it is "bacterial SSU rRNA". It matches the Rfam family "Bacterial small subunit ribosomal RNA", at positions 524 to 898 of the family's 1533-position model. The record is from RNAcentral.
UACGUAGGAGGCGAGCGUUGUCCGGAGUUACUGGGCGUAAAGGGUGCGUAGGCGGCCGCGCGCGUGGCGGGUGAAAUCUCCCGGCUUACCCGGGAGGGGGCUUGCCAGACGGCGCGGCUUGAGGGACGGAGAGGGGCGUGGAAUUCCGGGUGGAGCGGUGAAAUGCGUAGAGAUCCGGAGGAACACCGACGGCGUAGGCAGCGCCCUGGCCGUGCAAUAACCCUGACGCUGAAGCACGAAAGCUGGGGGAGCGAACAGGAUUAGAUACCCUGGUAGUCCCAGCCCUAAACGAUGUCCACCGGGUGCUGGGGGUAUCGACCCCCUCGGUGCCGCAGCUAACGUGGUGAGUGGACCGCCUGGGGAGUACGGCCGCAAGGUUGAA